AUUCCAGCUCCAAUAGCGUAUAUUAAAGUUGCUGCAGUUAAAAAGCUCGUAGUUGGAUUUGUGGCGCGGCCGUCCGGCGGGGCUCCUUCAUUGGGGCCGUUUGUCUGGUUUUUCGGCCGCUCCAUUCUCGGGUAGUGUGUCGCUGGCAUUAGGUUGUCGGCUUCUUCACGCCCGUCGUUUACUGUGAAAAAAUUAGAGUGUUCAAAGCAGGCUUAGGCCAUUGGAUACAUUAGCAUGGAAUAAUGAGAUAGGGCCACGACGGUCUAUUUUGUUGGUUUGCACGUUGUGGUAAUGAUUAACAGGAACGGUUGGGGGUAUUCGUAUUCAAUUGUCAGAGGUGAAAUUCUUGGAUUUAUGGGAGACGAACUACUGCGAAAGCAUUUACCAAGGAUGUUUUCAUCG
Molecule: ribosomal RNA, 402 nt
Filed under: Phaeophyceae sp.
Lineage: Eukaryota; Phaeophyceae
Description: partial small subunit ribosomal RNA
Rfam family: Eukaryotic small subunit ribosomal RNA
Source: RNAcentral